CGAGCACGCGCGUGUGGCAUAUCAAUAAGCGGAGGAAAAGAAACUAACAAGGAUUCCCUUAGUAACGGCGAGUGAAGCGGGAAGAGCUCAAAUUUGAAAUCUUCAAGGUUCUACCUUGACGAAUUGUAGUUUAUAGAAGUGUUUUCUGUUAGUGGAGUGGCAAAAGUUCUUUGGAAUAGGACAUCAUAGAGGGUGAGAAUCCCGUAUUUGGUCAUUCCUCCUAGCGUUGUGAUACACUUUCAACGAGUCGGAUUGCUUGGGAAUGCAGUCCAAAAUGGGUGGUAAAUUUCAUCUAAAGCUAAAUAUUGGCGAGAGACCGAUAGCGAACAAGUACCGUGAGGGAAAGAUGAAAAGAACUUUGAAAAGAGAGUUAAACAGUACGUGAAAUUGUCAAAAGGGAAGCGUUUGACACCAGUGUUGUUUUUCCGAAAAUCAAUUACGAAUGUUUUAUUUUUGAGGAGUUAUGACUUCAUCGGCUUGCUCCUUUCUUUACUGAAACUUUCUUAAUGCACUUUUCGGUUAACAAGUCAACAUCAAUUUCUUUUGUUGUAAAAGGGUCAUUGAGGAAGGUGGCUUUCUUUUCGGAGAAAGUGUUUAUAGCCUUGUGCCUUCUACAAUCGGAGAGAUUGAGGUCUGCAGCGUAGAUCCUUCGGGGUUAGAUACAUUUGUGCUAAGUUAUAGCUUUUCAUAGACAACUUGUUGACUAUGUCUAGUCUUGUAGCUUACUCGCUUACGCUAUUUUACCUACGCUUAGGAUGUUGAUGUGAUACUGCGAGC
RNAcentral lists this ribosomal RNA (777 nucleotides) under uncultured Neocallimastigales. Its description in RNAcentral is "partial large subunit ribosomal RNA". It matches the Rfam family "Eukaryotic large subunit ribosomal RNA", at positions 19 to 645 of the family's 3401-position model. The record is from RNAcentral. Lineage: Eukaryota; Fungi; Neocallimastigomycota; Neocallimastigomycetes; Neocallimastigales.